GAUGAACGCUGGCGGCGUGCCUAAUACAUGCAAGUCGAGCGAACAGAUGAGGAGCUUGCUCCUCUGACGUUAGCUGCGGACGGGUGAGUAACACGUGGAUAACCUACCUAUAAGACUGGGAUAACUUCGGGAAACCGGAGCUAAUACCGGAUAAUAUAUUGAACCGCAUGGUUCAAUAUUGAAAGACGGUUUUGCUGUCAUUUAUAGAUGGAUCCGCGCCGCAUUAGCUAGUUGGUAAGGUAACGGCUUACCAAGGCAACGAUGCGUAGCCGACCUGAGAGGGUGAUCGGCCACACUGGAACUGAGACACGGUCCAGACUCCUACGGGAGGCAGCAGUAGGGAAUCUUCCGCAAUGGGCGAAAGCCUGACGGAGCAACGCCGCGUGAGUGAUGAAGGUCUUCGGAUCGUAAAACUCUGUUAUUAGGGAAGAACAAAUGUGUAAGUAACUAUGCACGUCUUGACGGUACCUAAUCAGAAAGCCACGGCUAACUACGUG
Molecule: ribosomal RNA, 497 nt
Filed under: uncultured bacterium
Lineage: Bacteria
Description: partial 16S ribosomal RNA
Rfam family: Bacterial small subunit ribosomal RNA
Source: RNAcentral